Molecule: ribosomal RNA, 301 nt
Filed under: uncultured bacterium
Lineage: Bacteria
Description: partial 16S ribosomal RNA
Rfam family: Bacterial small subunit ribosomal RNA
Source: RNAcentral
CAGCAGCCGCGGGAAUACAGAGGGUGCGAGCGUUAAUCGGAUUUACUGGGCGUAAAGCGUGCGUAGGCGGCUAAUUGAGUCGGAUGUGAAAUCCCUGAGCUUAACUUAGGAAUUGCAUUCGAUACUGGGAAGCUAGAGUAUGGGAGAGGAUGGUAGAAUUCCAGGUGUAGCGGUGAAAUGCGUAGAGAUCUGGAGGAAUACCGAUGGCGAAGGCAGCCAUCUGGCCUAAUACUGACGCUGAGGUACGAAAGCAUGGGGAGCAAACAGGAUUAGAUACCCCGGUAGUCCCUGUCUCUUAUAC